CUGGCUCGGGACGAACGCUGGCGGCGUGCCUAAUACAUGCAAGUCGAACGGUCUUUUCUAUGGAAGCUUGCUUCCACUGAGAAGAUAGUGGCGAACGGGUGAGUAACACGUGGGUAACCUGCCCAUAAGAGGGGGAUAACAUCCGGAAACGGGUGCUAAUACCGCAUAGUUUUCUUGAUCGCAUGAUCGGGAAAGGAAAGACGGCCUUUGUGCUGUCGCUUAUGGAUGGACCCGCGGCGUAUUAGUUAGUUGGUGAGGUAACGGCUCACCAAGACGAUGAUACGUAGCCGACCUGAGAGGGUGAUCGGCCACAUUGGGACUGAGACACGGCCCAAACUCCUACGGGAGGCAGCAGUAGGGAAUCUUCCGCAAUGGACGAAAGUCUGACGGAGCAACGCCGCGUGAGUGAAAGAAGGUUUUCGGAUCGUAAAACUCUGUUGUCAGAGAAGAACAAGUUGGAGAGUAACUGCUCCAGCCUUGACGGUAUCUGACCAGAAAGCCACGGCUAACUACGUGCCAGCCGCCGC
Molecule: ribosomal RNA, 527 nt
Filed under: uncultured bacterium
Lineage: Bacteria
Description: bacterial SSU rRNA
Rfam family: Bacterial small subunit ribosomal RNA
Source: RNAcentral